Molecule: ribosomal RNA, 498 nt
Filed under: uncultured bacterium
Lineage: Bacteria
Description: partial 16S ribosomal RNA
Rfam family: Bacterial small subunit ribosomal RNA
Source: RNAcentral
GACGAACGCUGGCGGCGUGCCUAAUACAUGCAAGUCGAACGAGAGCGACCGGUGCUUGCACUGGUCAAUCUAGUGGCGAACGGGUGAGUAACACGUGGGUAACCUGCCCAUCAGAGGGGGAUAACAUUCGGAAACGGAUGCUAAAACCGCAUAGGUCUUCGAACCGCAUGGUUUGAAGAGGAAAAGAGGCGCAAGCUUCUGCUGAUGGAUGGACCCGCGGUGCAUUAGCUAGUUGGUGAGGUAACGGCUCACCAAGGCCGGGAUGCAUAGCCGACCUGAGAGGGUGAUCGGCCACAUUGGGACUGAGACACGGCCCAAACUCCUACGGGAGGCAGCAGUAGGGAAUCUUCCGCAAUGGACGCAAGUCUGACGGAGCAACGCCGCGUGAGUGAAGAAGGUGUUCGGAUCGUAAAACUCUGUUGUUAGAGAAGAACAAGUGCUAGAGUAACUGUUAGCGACUUGACGGUAUCUAACCAGAAAGCCACGGCUAACUACGUG